Molecule: ribosomal RNA, 294 nt
Filed under: uncultured bacterium
Lineage: Bacteria
Description: partial 16S ribosomal RNA
Rfam family: Archaeal small subunit ribosomal RNA
Source: RNAcentral
GUGCCAGCAAGCCGCGGUAAUAGCCGCACCCCGAGUGGUGCCCAGUAUUAUUGGGCUUAAAGUGUCUGUCGCUUGCCGUGUAAGUCUGCUGUGAAAUCCACGCGCUCAACGUGUGGGCGUGCAGCGGAUACUGCAUGGCUUGGGACCAGACGGCGUCGAGGCUAUUCCAGGGGUAGGAGUGAAAUCCUAAAAUCCCUGGAGGAGCACCUGUGGCGAAAGCGCUCGGCGAGUAUGGAUCCGACGGUGAGGGACGAAAGCCAGGGGAGCAAAGCGGAUUAGAUACCCGGGUAGUCC